Molecule: ribosomal RNA, 388 nt
Filed under: Salmonella enterica subsp. enterica serovar Cairina
Lineage: Bacteria; Pseudomonadati; Pseudomonadota; Gammaproteobacteria; Enterobacterales; Enterobacteriaceae
Description: partial 23S ribosomal RNA
Rfam family: Bacterial large subunit ribosomal RNA
Source: RNAcentral
GAACUCGCUGUGAAGAUGCAGUGUACCCGCGGCAAGACGGAAAGACCCCGUGAACCUUUACUAUAGCUUGACACUGAACACUGGUCCUUGAUGUGUAGGAUAGGUGGGAGGCUUUGAAGUGUGGACGCCAGUUCGCAUGGAGCCAACCUUGAAAUACCACCCUUUAAUGGCUGGUGUUCUAACGUAGACCCGUAAUCCGGGUUGCGGACAGUGUCUGGUGGGUAGUUUGACUGGGGCGGUCUCCUCCCAAAGAGUAACGGAGGAGCACGAAGGUUAGCUAAUCCUGGUCGGACAUCAGGAGGUUAGUGCAAAGGCAUAAGCUAGCUUGACUGCGAGAGUGACGGCUCGGGCAGGUGCGAAAGCAGGUCUUAGUGAUCCGGUGGUUCUG